CUUGCCCUUCCUCUAGCCCGACCAACCCAUAUGCAUAAUCAUAAAAAAUCCAUCACCACACUCAAACCAAAACAUUCUAACUCAUGUCCCAGUAUAGGCGAUAGAAAAGAACCCCGGCGCAAUAGAGACCAACCGUACCGUAAGGGAAAGAUGAAAUAUCCAUGAAAUAUACAAGCAAAAAAUAGUAAAGACCAACCCUUGUACCUUUUGCAUCAUGAUUUAGCCAGAACAACCAAGCAAAGCGGACUAAAGUUUGCCUCCCCNNNNNNNNNNNNNNNNNCUCGUAAGCAGCUAAAAACUGAGCAAACCCGUCUCUGUCGCAAAAGAGUGGGAUGACUUACUAGUAGAGGUGAAAAGCUAAUCGAGCUGGGUGAUAGCUGGUUACCUGCUAAAUGAAUCUAAGUUCUACCUUAACCUCCCUAAAAGGACAUCCAACCGAACCAACACGUUGAGAUUAAGAGCAACUCGAUGGAGGUACAGCUCCCUCGAAAAAGAAUACAACCUCCCCUAGCGGAUAAUACUUUUUUUAACAUGCCGUGGGCCUUAAAGCAGCCACCGACAAAGAGNNNNNNNNAGCUCACCCACUAAAAAAAUUAAAAAUCCCAUUUGACUCCCUUACCAAAAGCAGGUCAACCUAUGACAAUAGAAGNNNNNNNNNNNNNNNNNNNAACUUGGGGCCCCCCUCCACACAGCGCAAACUUACAUUWAYACAUUAUUAACAGAAUUAACUUAUACCAUUAUUCCAACAAGAACACGUAUUAAACCCACAACCUGUUAGACCGACCCAGGAGCGCCCAUAGACGAUUAAAAUCUGCAGAAGGAACUCGGCAAAUCAAAGACCCGACUGUUUCCCAAAAACAUAGCCUUCAGCUAAACCAACAAGUAUUGAAGGUGAUGCCUGCCCAGUGACCUAUGAGUUUAACGGCCGCGGUAUCCUAACCGUGCGAAGGUAGCGCAAUCAAUUGUCCCAUAAAUUGAGACUUGUAUGAAUGGCUAAACGAGGUCUUAACUGUCUCCUGCAGACNNNNNNNNNNNNNNNNNNNCCCGUGAAAAAACGAGAAUGUGAACAUAAGACGAGAAGACCCUGUGGAACUUUAAAAUUACGACCACCCUUACACCAACACCACCCACCCGGGCCCACCUUAAAAACAACUGGUCGACAUUUUUCGGUUGGGGCGACCCUGGAGAAAAACAAAUCCUCCAUAGACCAAAGACCACAACUCUUUACCAAGAUUAACCCUUCAAAGUACCAACAGUAAUCAGACCCAAUACAAUUGAUCAAUGGACCAAGCUACCCCAGGGAUAACAGCGCAAUCUCCUCCAAGAGCCCAUAUCGACGAGGAGGUUUACGACCUCGAUGUUGGAUCAGGACAACCUAAUGGUGUAGCCGCUAUCAAGGGUUCGUUUGUUCAACGAUUAACAGUCCUACGUGAUCUGAGUUCAGACCGGAGUAAUCCAGGUCGGUUUCUAUCUAUGUAUGCACUCCUCCUAGUACGAAAGGACCGGAGAAGUGGGGUCAAUACAACCUAGCACACCCCAACCCCAUAAGCAAUGAACCCAACUCAAUUGCCAAAGGAACUUAUUCACACUACCCCUAGAAAAGGGAUAUA
This 1610-nucleotide ribosomal RNA is filed under the name Rollulus rouloul (Crested partridge). RNAcentral describes it as "16S ribosomal RNA". The record is from RNAcentral. Lineage: Eukaryota; Metazoa; Chordata; Aves; Galliformes; Phasianidae.